AUUGAACGCUGGCGGCAUGCUUUACACAUGCAAGUCGAACGGUAACAGGCCUUCGGGUGCUGACGAGUGGCGAACGGGUGAGUAAUGCAUCGGAACGUGCCCAGAGGUGGGGGAUAACGCAGCGAAAGCUGUGCUAAUACCGCAUGUGAUCUGAGGAUGAAAGCGGGGGACCAGGCAGCAAUGUUUGGCCUCGCGCCUUUGGAGCGGCCGAUGUCAGAUUAGGUAGUUGGGGGGGUAAAGGCCUACCAAGCCGACGAUCUGUAGCUGGUCUGAGAGGACGACAACCCAGAUGGGAGAGAAGACCCGGCCAACACUCCAGGGGGAGACAGAGGGGGGGAUUUUGGAAAAGGGGGGCAAGCCUGAACCCAAAAUGGCGGGGGGGGGAAGAAGGCCCUGGGGUUGUAAACCGGUUUUUGACGGAAAAAAAAAGCUUCGGGAAAACCCGGGGGGCGGACGGGGGACCGAAAAAAAAAGCCCCCGCAAACCACG
RNAcentral lists this ribosomal RNA (489 nucleotides) under uncultured bacterium. Its description in RNAcentral is "partial 16S ribosomal RNA". It matches the Rfam family "Bacterial small subunit ribosomal RNA", at positions 29 to 505 of the family's 1533-position model. The record is from RNAcentral.